UACGUAGGGGGCAAGCGUUGUCCGGAAUUAUUGGGCGUAAAGAGCUCGUAGGCGGCUCAGCAAGUCGGCUGUGAAAUCCCGAGGCUUAACCUCGGAACUGCAGUCGAUACUGCUGUGGCUAGAGUCUGGUAGAGGAGAAUGGAAUUCCCGGUGUAGCGGUGAAAUGCGCAGAUAUCGGGAGGAACACCAGUAGCGAAGGCGGUUCUCUGGGCCAGUACUGACGCUGAGGAGCGAAAGCGUGGGGAGCAAACAGG
RNAcentral lists this ribosomal RNA (254 nucleotides) under uncultured bacterium. RNAcentral describes it as "partial 16S ribosomal RNA". It matches the Rfam family "Bacterial small subunit ribosomal RNA", at positions 524 to 776 of the family's 1533-position model. The record is from RNAcentral.